AUGCAAGUCGAGCGAGAAAGUAUCUUCGGAUAUGAGUAGAGCGGCGGACGGGUGAGUAACGCGUAGGAAUCUACCUAGUAGAAGGGGAUAGCCCGGGGAAACUCGGAUUAAUACCGUAUACCUCCUAAGGGAGAAAGAGGGCCUCUCUUGAAGCUCUCGCUACUAGAUGAGCCUGCGUAAGAUUAGCUUGUUGGUAAGGUAAUGGCUUACCAAGGCUACGAUCUUUAGCUGGUCUGAGAGGACGAUCAGCCACAUUGGGACUGAGACACGGCCCAGACUCCUACGGGAGGCAGCAGUGGGGAAUAUUGGACAAUGGGCGCAAGCCUGAUCCAGCCAUACCGCGUGUGUGAAGAAGGCCUUCGGGUUGUAAAGCACUUUAAGCAGGGAGAAAAAGCAAUAAGUUAAUACCUUAUUGCCGUGAUGUUACCUGCAGAAUAAGCACCGGCUAAUUCCGUGCCAGCAGCCGCGGUAAUACGGAAGGUGCAAGCGUUAAUCGGAAUUACUGGGCGUAAAGCGCGCGUAGGUGGUUUGUUAAGUUGGAUGUGAAAGCCCUGGGCUCAACCUAGGAACUGCAUCCAAAACUAACUCACUAGAGUACGAUAGAGGGAGGUAGAAUUCAUAGUGUAGCGGUGGAAUGCGUAGAUAUUAUGAAGAAUACCAGUGGCGAAGGCGGCCUCCUGGAUCUGUACUGACACUAAGGUGCGAAAGCGUGGGUAGCGAACAGGAUUAGAUACCCUGGUAGUCCACGCCGUAAACGAUGACAACUAGCUGUUGGGAGACAAUGUCUUUCAGUGCGCAGCUAACGUUUUAAGUUGUCCGCCUGGGGAGUACGGCCGCAAGGCUAAAACUCAAAUGAAUUGACGGGGACCCGCACAAGCGGUGGAGCAUGUGUUUAUUCGAUGCAACGCGAAAACCUUACCUACUCUUGACAUACUUGGAAGCUCUGUAAUGAGAGUGUGCCUUUUGAGCAAGAUACAGUGCUGCAUGGCUGUCGUCAGCUCGUGGUCGUGAGAUGUCCGUUAAGUCGGAUAACGAGGCGCCAACCCCUCACUCUUAUUUGCCAGCGAAUUCGUGCGGGAACUAUUAAGGGGACGGCGCGCGGGUAUAUACCCAGAAAAGUUAUAGAGAGACGUCG
RNAcentral lists this ribosomal RNA (1135 nucleotides) under uncultured Gammaproteobacteria bacterium. RNAcentral's name for it is "bacterial SSU rRNA". It matches the Rfam family "Bacterial small subunit ribosomal RNA", at positions 55 to 1172 of the family's 1533-position model. Lineage: Bacteria; Pseudomonadati; Pseudomonadota; Gammaproteobacteria. The record is from RNAcentral.